AUUGAACGCUGGCGGCAUGCCUUACACAUGCAAGUCGAACGGCAGCACGGGAGCAAUCCUGGUGGCGAGUGGCGAACGGGUGAGUAAAGUAUCGGAACGUGCCCAGUCGUGGGGGAUAACGUAGCGAAAGCUACGCUAAUACCGCAUACGAUCUAUGGAUGAAAGCGGGGGACCGCAAGGCCUCGCGCGAUUGGAGCGGCCGAUAUCAGAUUAGGUAGUUGGUGGGGUAAAGGCCCACCAAGCCGACGAUCUGUAGCUGGUCUGAGAGGACGACCAGCCACACUGGGACUGAGACACGGCCCAGACUCCUACGGGAGGCAGCAGUGGGGAAUUUUGGACAAUGGGCGCAAGCCUGAUCCAGCAAUGCCGCGUGCAGGAUGAAGGCCUUCGGGUUGUAAACUGCUUUUGUACGGAGCGAAAAGGCUCUCACUAAUACUGGGGGCUCAUGACGGUACCGUAAGAAUAAGCACCGGCUAACUACGUGCCAGCCGCCGCAGUAA
Molecule: ribosomal RNA, 500 nt
Filed under: uncultured bacterium
Lineage: Bacteria
Description: partial 16S ribosomal RNA
Rfam family: Bacterial small subunit ribosomal RNA
Source: RNAcentral